AAUCAACGCUGGCGGCGUGCCUAACACAUGCAAGUCGAACGCGAAAGUGGAGCAAUCCAUGAGUAGAGUGGCAAACGGGUGAGUAACGCGUGGGUGACCUGCCUUCGAGCGGGGGAUAACGUUCCGAAAGGGACGCUAAUACCGCAUAACAUCCUGUCUUUCAAGAGAUGGUGAUCAAAGCCGGGGAUCGCAAGACCUGGCACUCGAAGAGGGGCCCGCGUCCGAUUAGCUAGUUGGUGGGGUAACGGCUCACCAAGGCGACGAUCGGUA
This 270-nucleotide ribosomal RNA is filed under the name uncultured bacterium. Its description in RNAcentral is "partial 16S ribosomal RNA". It matches the Rfam family "Bacterial small subunit ribosomal RNA", at positions 32 to 285 of the family's 1533-position model. The record is from RNAcentral.